This 73-nucleotide transfer RNA is filed under the name Planctomycetales bacterium. RNAcentral's name for it is "tRNA-Ile". It matches the Rfam family "tRNA". From Rfam's summary of the family: Transfer RNA (tRNA) molecules are approximately 80 nucleotides in length. Lineage: Bacteria; Pseudomonadati; Planctomycetota; Planctomycetia; Planctomycetales. The record is from RNAcentral. RNAcentral also lists the same sequence under 1 other name.
GGGCCCGUAGCUCAGCGGUUAGAGCAGGGGACUCAUAAUCCCUUGGCCGGGGGUUCGAAUCCCUCCGGGCCUA